AGGCCGUUUUUUCUCCCAUCGCCUGAAUAGUAUUUUUCUAGUCUAUUCUGAUGCGUGGAUUUGUUAUUUUUCCUCCAAGAUAUACAUAUGUAUCGUUAAAUAUAAUCUAGAAUGCUCAGCCUUGUAUGUUUCCUUUUUUACAUCUAUGGAAAAAAGACGAAAACAAGACUCAAGCGAACGUAUUACAAGGCGACACGGUUCAGGGAGAAAGCAAGGUUCAGGCUUCUCCUAAUUUAGAUGAACACGAUGUAAACUCUGAAGGUUGGACAAGAAGAGAACGGAAUCGACAGGGCGCUGCGUUCAGGAAACCAUGUUCAGACAGAUGCAGCCAGAUGGAGAUAGCACUUGGAAAUGCUGGGAAGAUUGGGCAGGAAGUUGUUUUUCAGCCAUUUAAAGGAAUGGAAUUCGACUCAGAGAAGGAUGCAUUCGAAUUUUUUAAUGCAUAUUCUUGAGAAAUUGGUUUUGGUAUCAAGCAUGGCAAUAAGUACAUCAACAAGCACGGAUUCAAGACAAAGCAGGACCUUUUGUGCUCAUGCGAGGGAACUCACAAAAAAUUCAACUCUAGGUCUAGCAGAACAAACUGCCCUGCUAUGGUUAGGUUGCUUCGCACCAACGACGACGGAUGGUACUAUGCAGAGGUGGUAUUAGAACACAACCACGAGUUGGCAGACAAUGUCGGUGAAAGAAAGUUAUGGAAGUGCCACAAGUACGUCGACGCAUCUAUGAAGGACAUUGUUAGGCACUUGCGU
Molecule: long non-coding RNA, 749 nt
Organism: Triticum aestivum (bread wheat)
Lineage: Eukaryota; Viridiplantae; Streptophyta; Magnoliopsida; Poales; Poaceae
Exons: 3
Source: RefSeq, a predicted model, not a curated record